This 253-nucleotide ribosomal RNA is filed under the name uncultured bacterium. RNAcentral's name for it is "partial 16S ribosomal RNA". It matches the Rfam family "Bacterial small subunit ribosomal RNA", at positions 524 to 776 of the family's 1533-position model. The record is from RNAcentral.
UACAGGGGGUGCAAACGUUGCUCGGAAUUAUUGGGCGUAAAGCGCACGUAGGCGGUUCGUUAUGUCGGAUGUGAAAGCCCUUGGCUCAACUGAGGAAGUGCAUCCGAAACUGGCGAGCUAGAGUAUGUAAGAGGGUCGCGGAAUUCCCGGUGUAGAGGUGAAAUUCGUAGAUAUCGGGAGGAACACCGGUGGCGAAGGCGGCGACCUGGGACAAUACUGACGCUGAGGUGCGAAAGCAUGGGGAGCGAACAGG